GAUUAACGCUGGCGGCGUGCAUAACACAUGCAAGUCGAACGAUGAAACUUAAAUGAUUUCUUCGGAAUGAACUUAAGUGGCUUAGUGGCGGACGGGUGAGUAACGCGUGAGUAACCUGCCUUACACAAGGGGAUAGCCGUUGGAAACGACGAAUAAUACCCUAUGAAACUAUCACUUCGCAUGAAGCGAUAGUCAAAGUGUUAGCGGUGUAAGAUGGACUUGCGUCUGAUUAGCUAGUUGGUGAGAAAAAAGCCCACCAAGGCAACGAUCAGUAGCCGGCUUGAGAGAGUGUACGGCCACAUUGGGACUGAGACACGGCCCAGACUCCUACGGGAGGCAGCAGGGGGGAAUUUUGCACAAUGGGGGAAACCCUGAUGCAGCGACGCCGCGUGAUUUAGAAGGCCUUCGGGUUGUAAAAAUCUUUUGUAUAGGAAGAAAAUGACAGUACUAUACGAAUAAGGUCCGGCUAAUUACGUG
RNAcentral lists this ribosomal RNA (477 nucleotides) under uncultured bacterium. RNAcentral's name for it is "partial 16S ribosomal RNA". It matches the Rfam family "Bacterial small subunit ribosomal RNA", at positions 28 to 507 of the family's 1533-position model. The record is from RNAcentral.